CAAGCGUUGUUCGGAAUUACUGGGCGUAAAGGGCUCGUAGGCGGCCAACUAAGUCAGACGUGAAAUCCCUCGGCUUAACCGGGGAACUGCAUCUGAUACUGGAUGGCUUGAGUUCGGGAGAGGGAUGCGGAAUUCCAGGUGUAGCGGUGAAAUGCGUAGAUAUCUGGAGGAACACCGGUGGCGAAGGCGGCAUCCUGGACCGACACUGACGCUGAGGAGCGAAAGCCAGGGGAGCAAACAGG
This 242-nucleotide ribosomal RNA is filed under the name uncultured bacterium. Its description in RNAcentral is "partial 16S ribosomal RNA". It matches the Rfam family "Bacterial small subunit ribosomal RNA", at positions 535 to 776 of the family's 1533-position model. The record is from RNAcentral.